RNAcentral lists this ribosomal RNA (469 nucleotides) under [Eubacterium] yurii. RNAcentral describes it as "bacterial SSU rRNA". It matches the Rfam family "Bacterial small subunit ribosomal RNA", at positions 28 to 496 of the family's 1533-position model. The record is from RNAcentral. Lineage: Bacteria; Bacillati; Bacillota; Clostridia; Peptostreptococcales; Filifactoraceae.
GAUGAACGCUGGCGGCGUGCCUAACACAUGCAAGUCGAACGAAGGUAUAUAUAGGAAGUCUUCGGAUGGAAUAUGUAUAACUUAGUGGCGGACGGGUGAGUAACGCGUAAGUAAUCAACCUGUGACACACGGAUAACUGAUAGAAAUGUCAGCUAAUACGAGAUGAACUGUUUAAAUUGGGAAAUGGAAACAGCAAAGCGAAAGCGGUCACAGACGAGCUUGCGUCUGAUUAGCUAGUUGGUGGGGUAAGAGCCUACCAAGGCGACGAUCAGUAGCCGGCCUGAGAGGGUGAACGGCCACAUUGGAACUGAGACACGGUCCAAACUCUACGGGAGGCAGCAGUGGGGGAUAUUGCACAAUGGGGGGAACCCUGAUGCAGCAACGCCGCGUGAGUGAAGAAGGCCUUAGGGUCGUAAAGCUCUGUCGUAUGGGAAGAAACAAAUGACUGUACCAUACAAGAAAGCCCGGU